This is a long non-coding RNA of Panthera uncia (snow leopard), 1660 nucleotides long. RefSeq lists it as uncharacterized. The record is from RefSeq and is a predicted model, not a curated record. Lineage: Eukaryota; Metazoa; Chordata; Mammalia; Carnivora; Felidae. The transcript has 2 exons.
GGCUGUGUUAGAGGUUGUGACAGGGACUGUGACAGUGGCUGUGACAGGGGCUGUGACAGGGGCUAUGACAGAGUCUGUGAUAGAGGUUGUGAUGGGACUAUGACAGGCUGUGAUAGAGGCUGUGAUAGGGACUGUGACAGGCUGGGACAGGGGCUGGGACAGAGGCUACUACAGGGGCUGGGACAAAACUGAGACAGAAUCUAUGAUAGAGGCUCUGAUGGGGGCUAGGACAGAGCCUGUGACAGGGGCUGUGACAGAGUCUGUGACAGAAGCCAUGACAGGAACUGUGACAGGGGCUAUGACAGGGGCUGUGAUAGGGGCUGUGACAGGGUCUGUGACAAGACUGAGACAGAAUCUGUGAUAGAGGCUGUGAUAGAGGCUGCGACAAAGGCUGUGAUGGACUGUGACAGGAGCUGUGACAGGAGCUGUGACAGAGUCUGUGAUAGAGGCUGUGAUGGGCUGUGACAGGGACUGUGACAGAGUCUGUGAUAGAGGCUGUGAUAGGGCCCGUGACAGACUGUGAUAGAGGCUGUGACAGGCUGAUACAGGGGCUGGGACAAAACUGAGACAGAAUCGACGAUAGAGGCUCUGACGGGGGCUAGGACAGAGUCUGUGACAGGGGUUGUGACAGAGUCUGUGACAGAGGCCAUGACAGAAGCUGUGACAGGGGCUAUGACAGAGGCUGUGAUAGGAGCUGUGGCUGUGACAGAAGCUGUGAUGGGGGCUAUGACAGAGACUCUAACAGGAGCUAUGACAGAGGCUGUGAUAGAGGCUGUAACAGGGGCUGUGACAGGUAUUGUGACAGGGGCUGAGGCUGUGACAGGAGCUGUAAUAGGGGCUAUGACAGAGACUCUAACAGGAGCUAUGACAGAGGCCGUGACAGAGGCUGUAACAGGGGCUGUGACAGGGGCUGUGACAGGUAUUGUGACAAAGGCUGUGGCAGGUACUAUGACAGAUGCUGCCACAGUGCUGUGACAAAGGCUGAGACAGGGACGGUGAGAGAGCCCGGGACAGAAAUGUGACUAAGUCUGGAACCACAAUCAGAGUUGGGACAACAGCUCCCGGAGCCCAGGCCUACACUCCCACGGUUGACAGAGCAGUUGGCGGUGACAGCAGCAACACAGCAAACACAUGGGCCCAGCCAGGCCCAGGCACUUGUGGAACUGCCAACAGGCUGAAGCUGCCACAGGAGAGCGAAAGGGGGUGAGUGAGGCCGGUUCCUAGCCCCCUGCUGUGGGUUCCUGUGUGUCCAUGGGAGAAGGUCCACGAUGCCAUGAGAAUCCCAAAGGCAUCUGUGACUCACAAGACAGUAAAGCCCCUGACUCAGGUCCUUGGAGGAAGAAGUGCCUCCUGCUGGGCUGUGCCCUCCCGCGAGACCCGGUCUGCCCCCCCUCUGGGUUUCUUCCACUGCUAUGGCUCUGCAGGCAGACUGUCCCCAGAGCCAUCUGGAGCUGUGUGCCUCGCUGCUCACCUGGACACAGCGCUGCGCCUCUAUCGACUGCCCUAGUUAAGAGCUGUUGAGCUGACUGCAGAGACCAAGUCUGCACCUGCCCCCUCCAGAGGUGGCCAGGCUUUGAGGUGGGGUAUAAGCAAAAGCCCUCUGAAUCUCUGGGCUUGCAGGAAGGAGCAGGAGUCCUGGAGCCAAAAAAGACGUGCACUU